UAACUUGUCGCGAUGGAUGACUUGG
This 25-nucleotide ribosomal RNA is filed under the name Leishmania major. Its description in RNAcentral is "partial 5.8S ribosomal RNA". Lineage: Eukaryota; Euglenozoa; Kinetoplastea; Trypanosomatida; Trypanosomatidae. The record is from RNAcentral.